UCCGUUUUGUCAACGGCAGUCUCAAUAGAGUGCCCGGCCGAACCGCUGGCAACUAAGGACAGGGGUUGCGCUCGUUGCGCCACUUAAGGCAACACCUCACGGCACGAGCUGACGACAGCCAUGCACCACCUGUGCAGGCUCCGAAGAGCGCCCGCUUUCACGGGUUUCACCCUGCAUGUCAAGCCCAGGUAAGGUUCUUCGCGUCGCAUCAAAUUAAGCCGCAUGCUCCGCCGCUUGUGCGGGGCCCCGUCAAUUCCUUUGAGUUUCAGCCUUGCGGCCGUACUCCCCAGGCGGGGCACUUAAUGCGUUAGCGCCGGCACCCGGAGGGUCGCUCCCCCGGGCACCUAGUGCCCAUCGUUUACGGCGUGGACUAC
RNAcentral lists this unclassified non-coding RNA (374 nucleotides) under uncultured Actinomycetes bacterium. RNAcentral describes it as "uncultured actinobacterium contains 16S-23S intergenic spacer region". The record is from RNAcentral. Lineage: Bacteria; Bacillati; Actinomycetota; Actinomycetes.